RNAcentral lists this transfer RNA (67 nucleotides) under Tridacna derasa. RNAcentral describes it as "tRNA-Ile". The record is from RNAcentral. Lineage: Eukaryota; Metazoa; Mollusca; Bivalvia; Cardiida; Cardiidae.
CAUAUUAUGCCAGAGGUAUAUGGGCCGCUUUGAUGUGGCGGUUACGAGUAGGAUUACUCUGAUAUGA